This 253-nucleotide ribosomal RNA is filed under the name uncultured bacterium. Its description in RNAcentral is "partial 16S ribosomal RNA". It matches the Rfam family "Bacterial small subunit ribosomal RNA", at positions 524 to 776 of the family's 1533-position model. The record is from RNAcentral.
UACGUAGGGAGCAAGCGUUGUCCGGAAUUACUGGGCGUAAAGGGCGCGUAGGUGGGCGCUUAAGUCAGGUGUGAAAACUCCGGGCUCAACCUGGAGACUGCACUUGAAACUGGGUGUCUUGAGGGCAGGAGAGGAAAGUGGAAUUCCUAGUGUAGCGGUGAAAUGCGUAGAUAUUAGGAGGCACACCAGUGGCGAAGGCGACUUUCUGGACUGUACCUGACGCUGAGGCGCGAAAGCGUGGGUAGCGAACGGG